GGCUCCUUGUAAUAUAUAGAUAAGGAGUCGGACCUGCCCAGUGAAUUUUUCAACGGCCGCGGUACUCUGACCGUGCAAAGGUAGCAUAAUCAUUUGCCUUAUAAUUGAAGGCUUGUAUGAAUGGUUUGACAAGAAUAUAGCUGUCUCUUUAUAAUUAAAUAGAAUUUUAUUUAUAGGUGAAGAAGCCUAUAUAAUAUUGAAAGACAAGAAGACCCUAUCGAGCUUGAAAGAAAUUAAUAAAUUCUGUAUAUUUAAUAUAAUUUAAAAAAUUAAUUAUUAAAAAUUUUGGUUGGGGCGACUAAGGAACAAACAAAGCUUCCUUUAUUUUAGUAAUACAACCAAGUAAGGAUCCAAAAACUUUGAUUAAAGGAAUUAGUUACCGUAGGGAUAACAGCAUUAUCUUUUUUGAGAGCUCUAAUCGAAAAAAAGGUUUGUGACCUCGAUGUUGGACCAGAAUAUCCUGAAGAUGCAGCCGUCUUUAAGGGUUGGUCUGUUCGACCAUUAAAAUUCUACGUGAUCUGAGUUCAGACCGGCGUGAGCCAGGUCAGUUUCUAUCUUCAAUUUUUAUAAUAAGUUUAGUACGAAAGGACCAAUUUAUUACAACAUAUUUGUUAUAUUUAGAUGAAAUAUAAAGAAAAAUUAAAUAACUAAAUGUAAUCAAAUUAGCAAAGAUAAUGCAAUUGACUUAGGAUCAAUAGACAUAGGUGAAAUCCCUUUAUUUGAUAAAAUAUAAAGGUGGCAGAUUAA
This 747-nucleotide ribosomal RNA is filed under the name Lamellitrophon traversi. RNAcentral describes it as "partial 16S ribosomal RNA". The stretch from base 1 to 583 matches the Rfam family "Bacterial large subunit ribosomal RNA", at positions 1817 to 2925 of the family's 2925-position model. The record is from RNAcentral. Lineage: Eukaryota; Metazoa; Mollusca; Gastropoda; Neogastropoda; Muricidae.